This 287-nucleotide unclassified non-coding RNA is filed under the name root metagenome. Its description in RNAcentral is "partial contains small subunit ribosomal RNA, internal transcribed spacer 1, and 5.8S ribosomal RNA". The record is from RNAcentral.
UUUCCGUAGGUGAACCUGCGGAAGGAUCAUUGUCGUGACCCUGACCAAAACAGACCGCGCAUGCGUUAUCCAAUCCGUCGGUGACGGCACCGUCCAUCGCUCGGCCAAUGCCUCGACCACCUCCCCUCCUCGGAGUGGGUGGGGGCUCGGGGUAAAAGAACCCACGGCACCGAAGGCGUCCAGGAACACUGUGCCUAACCCGGGGGCAUGGCUAGCUUGCUAGCCGUCCCUCGUGUUGCAAAGCUAUUUAAUGCACACGACUCUCGGCAACGGAUAUCUCAGCUCUC